UACAGAGGGGGCAAGCGUUAUUCGGAAUUAUUGGGCGUAAAGGGCGCGUAGGCGGUUUCUUAAGUCAGAUGUGUAAUCCCCGAGCUUAACUUGGGAACUGCAUCUGAGACUGGGAGGCUAGAGUACUGGAGAGGGUGGUGGAAUUCCUCGUGUAGCGGUGAAAUGCGUAGAGAUGAGGAGGAACACCAGUGGCGAAGGCGGCCACCUGGACAGUAACUGACGCUGAGGCGAGAAAGUGCGGGGAGCAAACAGG
RNAcentral lists this ribosomal RNA (253 nucleotides) under uncultured bacterium. RNAcentral describes it as "partial 16S ribosomal RNA". It matches the Rfam family "Bacterial small subunit ribosomal RNA", at positions 524 to 776 of the family's 1533-position model. The record is from RNAcentral.